This 84-nucleotide small nucleolar RNA is filed under the name Triticum aestivum (bread wheat). RNAcentral describes it as "snoRNA SNORD24". It matches the Rfam family "Small nucleolar RNA SNORD24". Rfam says of the family: U24 is a member of the C/D class of snoRNA which contain the C (UGAUGA) and D (CUGA) box motifs. RNAcentral also lists the same sequence under 1 other name. The record is from Rfam by way of RNAcentral. Lineage: Eukaryota; Viridiplantae; Streptophyta; Magnoliopsida; Poales; Poaceae.
AACCAGUGAUGUUAUCAAAAUAUUUGCUACUCUUGAUGGGGCAACUCCUAUUUGAUGAUCACAACCACCAUGAUCUCUGAGGCC